RNAcentral lists this ribosomal RNA (1336 nucleotides) under freshwater metagenome. RNAcentral's name for it is "bacterial LSU rRNA". It matches the Rfam family "Bacterial large subunit ribosomal RNA", at positions 766 to 1981 of the family's 2925-position model. The record is from RNAcentral.
GUGGAGGACCGAACCCACAAACGUUGAAAAGUUUGGGGAUGAACUGUGGUUAGGGGUGAAAGGCCAAUCAAACUUCGUGAUAGCUGGUUCUCUCCGAAAUGCAUUUAGGUGCAGCGUCACGUGUUUCUUACUGGAGGUAGAGCUACUGGAUGGCCGAGGGGUCCUACAAGAUUACCAACGUCAGCCAAACUCCGAAUGCCAGUAAGUGAGAACGUGGCAGUGAGACAGUGGGGGAUAAGCUUCAUUGUCGAGAGGGAAACAACCCAGAAUAGCAACUAAGGUCCCAAAGCCUGUGCUAAGUGGAAAAGGAUGUGAAGUCGCAUAGACAACCAGGAGGUUGGCUUAGAAGCAGCCACCCUUAAAAGAGUGCGUAAUAGCUCACUGGUCAAGUGAUUUCGCGCCGACAAUGUAACGGGGCUCAAGCACAGCACCGAAGUUCUGUCAUUCACACACUAUCCCGGUCGCAAGAUCCAGGAGUGUGGAUGGGUAGGAGAGCGUUGUGUAACUAGUGAAGCGGCGGAGGAAUCCAGCCGUGGAAGUUACACAAGUGAGAAUGUAGACAUGAGUAGCGAGAGAGGGGUGAGAAACCCCUCCGCCGAAAGACCAAGGGUUCCUGGGCCAGGCUAAUCCGCCCAGGGUAAGUCGGGACCUAAGACGAGGCCGUCAGGCGUAGUCGAUGGACAACUGGUUGAUAUUCCAGUACCCACAAUAAACCGACCGUGACGAAUCAAUAAUGCUAAGUGUUUGAAGUUGGCUAGCAAUAGCUGAUGGAGCGCACGACCCAAGUUGGUAGUAGUCAAGCAAUGGAGAGACGCAGGAAGGUAGUCCAACCCAGGCGAUGGUUGACCUGGGGUAAGAGUGUAGGAGGUUCUGUAGGAAAAUCCGCAGAACAAUCUCUGAGACUUGAUGCCGAGCCGUAAGGCGAAGUGGAUGAUCCUAUGCUGUCAAGAAAAGCAUCUAGCGAGAUUUUAAGUGACCCGUACCCGAAACCGACACAGGUGGUCAGGUAGAGAAUACCAAGGUGAUCGAGAGAAUCGUGGUGAAGGAACUCGGCAAAAUACCCCCGUAACUUCGGGAGAAGGGGGGCUAAUUUUUGUGUAGAGGUUUACCUUCGAAGCAUAAGUUAGACGCAGAGAAUAGGCUCAAGCGACUGUUUACCAAAAACACAGGUCCGUGCGAAGUUGCAAAACGAUGUAUACGGACUGACGCCUGCCCGGUGCUGGAAGGUCAAGGGGACUAGUUAGCUCUUCGGAGCGAAGCUGAGAACUUAAGCCCCAGUAAACGGCGGUGGUAACUAUAACCAUCCUAAGGUAGCGAAAUUCCUUGUCGGGUAAGU